UUCCAGCUCCAAUAGCGUAUAUUAAAGUUGUUGCGGUUAAAAAGCUCGUAGUCGAAUCUGUGUCUCGCGCCGCCGGUUCAUCGUACGCGGUGUUAACUGGCGUGCCGCGGGACGUCCUGCCGGUGGGCUUAGCUCGCAAGGGCGGCCCGACUCAAUCCCGCCGCGGUGCUCUUCAUUGAGUGUCGAGGUGGGCCGGCACGUUUACUUUGAACAAAUUAGAGUGCUUAAAGCAGGCUAAAAUUUUGCCUGAAUACUGUGUGCAUGGAAUAAUGGAAUAGGACCUCGGUUCUAUUUUGUUGGUUUUCGGAACCCCGAGGUAAUGAUUAAUAGGAACGGAUGG
This 340-nucleotide ribosomal RNA is filed under the name Chrysochus chinensis. Its description in RNAcentral is "SSU rRNA". It matches the Rfam family "Eukaryotic small subunit ribosomal RNA", at positions 583 to 885 of the family's 1831-position model. The record is from RNAcentral. Lineage: Eukaryota; Metazoa; Arthropoda; Insecta; Coleoptera; Chrysomelidae.